GGACACAUAGCUCAGUUGGUAGAGCAGCUGACUCUUAAUCAGCGGGUCCUAGGUUCGAGCCCUAGUGCGUCCACCA
Molecule: transfer RNA, 76 nt
Filed under: Sphingobium sp. V4
Lineage: Bacteria; Pseudomonadati; Pseudomonadota; Alphaproteobacteria; Sphingomonadales; Sphingobiaceae
Description: tRNA-Lys
Rfam family: tRNA
About the family: Transfer RNA (tRNA) molecules are approximately 80 nucleotides in length. Their secondary structure includes four short double-helical elements and three loops (D, anti-codon, and T loops).
Source: RNAcentral